This 741-nucleotide ribosomal RNA is filed under the name Triticum aestivum (bread wheat). RNAcentral's name for it is "partial small subunit ribosomal RNA". The record is from RNAcentral. Lineage: Eukaryota; Viridiplantae; Streptophyta; Magnoliopsida; Poales; Poaceae.
AUGGCGCCGCGUCGGAAUAAUUUGCCUCUACUCUUCCUCCAUCUCGUUGUCGCUGCAACUGGUGGCGUCGAGGGGCAGAUGGCUUGGUCGUCUCGCCGAUCUCGGGAUCCGGCGAGGUUCGUGUCUGGUGGUUGGUCGACGGCGCUCUCGCGGGUGGUGGUCGUGUCGUCUGCUGUAGUUGUGUUUACUGUCUUGCAGUUGGGUGCGUGGAUGACGGCAGGCGGCGACGUUCCUCUUCUUCGACUACAUCGGAUGAAGUUGACGGCGUCGAGAUCUGGUGACCACGGGGAAGAUCCCCGGCCUACGUGCCACAAAGACUCGGUCUCGUCGCUUGCGGCGACCCGCUUCAUCAGCUCAAAAAGCAUCUUUGUAUGUGGUGGUGCUCUCCCAGAUCUGGGUAUGGCGGCUGUUCUCAUCUUCUUCCGGCGUUGCCAUGGUGGUGGCGGAGGACGUUUGUGGACUAUGUUUCGGCAAGGCACGAGUUUCUUCAAGGGUGGAAUAAUAGUUUUACCUCUUGUAGAAUUCUUUGUGCAGAGUUGCUUGACAAGUAUUUGUGUCUCGUAUGGUGCCAUAUGUGUAAUCUAUGUAAACAGAUUGUCAAGUGAAAUAUAUGGUUGCUUAAAAAAAACAACCAGAUGUGGGUAUAAAUUUUUGGAGAUGUCUGUAAAGCAACUAAGCUUAGACCGUGGCGAUGACGGUGGCGUGCCUUUGGCUCGUUCCAGUGCUUGUAGUCGUCGGUAG